RNAcentral lists this unclassified non-coding RNA (263 nucleotides) under plant metagenome. Its description in RNAcentral is "partial contains small subunit ribosomal RNA, internal transcribed spacer 1, and 5.8S ribosomal RNA". The record is from RNAcentral.
UUUCCGUAGGUGAACCUGCGGAAGGAUCAUUAUUGUAUAACCGAGGUGCGAGGGCUUUCGCUGACCCGAAACGUCGUGCACGCCCGAGUGCCCUCACACACAUCCAUCUCACCCCUAUGUGCACCACCGCGUGGGUCCCCCUUUGGCUUGUUCGUAGGGGGGCUUACGUUUUCACACAAACUUUGUAUGCAGUGUAGAAUGUAUUUUUUGUUUUUGCGAUCACGCAAUCAAUACAACUUUCAACAACGGAUCUCUUGGCUCUC